Long non-coding RNA from Rosa rugosa (rugosa rose), 1106 nucleotides. RefSeq lists it as uncharacterized. Lineage: Eukaryota; Viridiplantae; Streptophyta; Magnoliopsida; Rosales; Rosaceae. The transcript has 4 exons. The record is from RefSeq and is a predicted model, not a curated record.
AACUAUGCAGUUUCGAAUAAUAGUGCAUACGUAUUAAGAUUGUUGAUUAUCAGUUGAUCCCACUGUUGUAGGAGAGCAUUGGUGGCAGUCAGCUAGGCUCUGCAAAUCAAGUGGGAACUAUAAACUUUCACUUGGAACAGUUGCUGAUUCGGGCAAAAUCGGGUACAUGCUGAUCUGUCUGAAUUUGAGACGAGUGCAAAAAGAUUAGAAGUAAAGGUAACAAGCAAACCUGCAUAGCUCCCAUCAGUCAACUACUCCACAGCUUCAACAUCAUGAGAAAGCAACUGAGUUCUCUGUCUUCAGAACCAACAAAAAUUCGUGAAAACUUUCGUGGCGCAGUUGAGGGUGAUCAAAACCCGUAGCUGUCUUUUUCUCUGCAACCAACACUGCCAUGCAUCCACUUCAGGUGAUCAAUCUGCAAGUUAACAUGCAUGUCAUCUUCUUAGUAUCACUUUAUUUUCCAAGCUUUCUAACUUCUGAAGCAGUAAAACUAUCUCCAUGGUGCUGCUGCUGUACUAUAUGCAAGGUUAUUUCAGAAUAACAGUGUGUAUUAAGGGCAAGUUUCACAUUUUCAGCCUAGCAGCUGUUACUUCGGAAUUGACCAAAUGGCCCUAUCACUUUGCACUAUAAGCACUACAUAGGUUAGUUCAAAUUCAUGUAUGCAUUGGCAGUCUUAAAUGUUUAUAGUCUAUGCAUUAUUUUGAGUAAAUAGUGGCUACAGUACACAAGGCAUUGAUAUUGAUUUUAAUACUCUGAAACUGAUAUAAGAAAAAGAGAGGACAAUGACAUUCAUCUUUAAACUAUGCGAUUAAAUCGAUCAGUAGGGAACAAAAUGGUUCUCUGUACUCUCUCUCUUUUUUCUUUCUUUCUAGUUAUGCUCCAAACCCUCUGUAUCACACUUUGGUUAUGUGAUUAAACUUUCCCGUUUCCUAGCUGGAACUCAGAUGUUACAGAAACAAUGAAGAUUCUUUCAAGAUAACUAAUGGCUGUUACUACCUAACGUUACCUGUAUACUGUCUACAAACUUCUCUGAUAUAAUAAUUAGCAAAACCUAAAGGGUUUGUAUGAGUUGCUUUGUAUUUAUUGUGGAUAGAUGGAAUCAAUGA